RNAcentral lists this ribosomal RNA (765 nucleotides) under uncultured crenarchaeote. RNAcentral describes it as "bacterial SSU rRNA". It matches the Rfam family "Archaeal small subunit ribosomal RNA", at positions 102 to 850 of the family's 1478-position model. The record is from RNAcentral. Lineage: Archaea; Thermoproteati; Thermoproteota.
AGUCAACCUGCCCUGGAGACAAGGACAACCCCGGGAAACUGGGAUUAAUCCUUGAUAGGUCAUCUCAUCUGGAAGGAGAGAUGGCUUAAAGGGGUACGCGGGCUUCUUCCGCGAAUUCGCUCCAGGAUGGGACUGCGUCCGAUCAGGCUGUUGGCGGGGUAAUGGCCCACCAAACCUGUAACCGGUACGGGCCUUGAGAGAGGUGGCCCGGAGAUGGACACUGAGAGAAGGGUCCAGGUCCUACGGGGCGCAGCAGGCGCGAAACCUUCGCAAUGCGCGAAAGCGUGACGAGGUUAAUCCGAGUGACUUCCGCUGAGGAGGUCUUUUGUCAGCUGUAAAUAGGCAGGCGAAUAAGGGGAGGGCAAGCCUGGUGUCAGCCGCCGCGGUAAUACCAGCUCCUCGAGUGGUCGGGGCGAUUAUUGGGCCUAAAGCAUCCGUAGCCGGUUCCGUAGGUCCUCUGUUAAAUCCAACCGCUUAACGGUUGACCUGCAGAGGAUACCGCGGGACUAGGAGGCGGGAGAGGCGGACGGUACUCCGCGUGUAGGGGUAAAAUCCUUUGAUCCGCGGAAGACCACCAGUGGCGAAGGCGGUCCGCCAGAACGCGCUCGACGGUGAGGGAUGAAAGCUGGGGGAGCGAACCGGAUUAGAUACCCGGGUAGUCCCAGCCGUAAACGAUGCUAGCUAGAUGAUUCAUUCGCAAGUCGCGAAUGAAGUGUCGCAGGGAAGCCGUUAAGCUAGCCGCCUGGGGAGUACGGUCGCAAGACU